Small nucleolar RNA from Cavia aperea (Brazilian guinea pig), 137 nucleotides. NCBI's taxonomy places the organism in Eukaryota, Metazoa, Chordata, Mammalia, Rodentia, Caviidae. The record is from Ensembl.
UUGCAUGUCCGACACUUCCUGCUUCUCUUUAAAGAGCACAGAUUUAUCCACGCUAUGCAACAUGAAUGAAAUGAGAAGUUGGCAGGGCUGCCAACCUUUCCAUUGUGGCUUUGAGGUAGUGUAUUUCUUCUACAANN